GAUGAACGCUGGCGGCGUGCCUAAUACAUGCAAGUCGAGCGAACGGACGAGGAGCUUGCUUCUCUGAUGUUAGCGGCGGACGGGUGAGUAACACGUGGAUAACCUACCUAUAAGACUGGGAUAACUUCGGGAAACCGGAGCUAAUACCGGAUAAUAUUUUGAACCGCAUGGUUCAAAAGUGAAAGACGGUCUUGCUGUCACUUAUAGAUGGAUCCGCGCUGCAUUAGCUAGUUGGUAAGGUAACGGCUUACCAAGGCAACGAUGCAUAGCCGACCUGAGAGGGUGAUCGGCCACACUGGAACUGAGACACGGUCCAGACUCCUACGGGAGGCAGCAGUAGGGAAUCUUCCGCAAUGGGCGAAAGCCUGACGGAGCAACGCCGCGUGAGUGAUGAAGGUCUUCGGAUCGUAAAACUCUGUUAUUAGGGAAGAACAUAUGUGUAAGUAACUGUGCACAUCUUGACGGUACCUAAUCAGAAAGCCACGGCUAACUACGUA
RNAcentral lists this ribosomal RNA (497 nucleotides) under uncultured bacterium. Its description in RNAcentral is "partial 16S ribosomal RNA". It matches the Rfam family "Bacterial small subunit ribosomal RNA", at positions 28 to 507 of the family's 1533-position model. The record is from RNAcentral.